AUACUAAGUGACGCAUAGGUUGAGGAGGCAGUGACCGUGGCGGUGGAGGAGGAGGAUGAGGUAGCCAACACUGUUAUAUAUAUAUAUAUAUAUAUAUAUUUUUUUUUUUUGUUUGUUUUUUUAAUUGGGGUAGCCCCCAAAAUAUUGGGACAUAUAAAAAAAGACAACUCUGUUCCGCAGAGUAGCUGUUGACAUUAUAGUUGCGCAGGAAUUUUGUUGACUCUAAAGAACCUCGGGCAAAUCGCACAUCCCCGUGGCGGUGACUUUGCAUGCGGAUGUCAUCCAUAUCAACUUUCGAUGCCAGUUUCUGCACCUACCAUGGUGACCACGGGUAACGGGGAAUCAGGGUUCCAUUCCAUACAGGGACCCUGAGAAACGGCUACCACAUGCAAGGAAGGCAGCAGGCGCGCAAAUGACCCACUCCCGACACGGGAAGAUAGU
Molecule: non-coding RNA, 441 nt
Organism: Pelobates cultripes (western spadefoot toad)
Lineage: Eukaryota; Metazoa; Chordata; Amphibia; Anura; Pelobatidae
Source: the annotation of a GenBank genome assembly